UCAGGGUCUUUACCUUUAACUUCUGGAGCUGGUGACACCUUAAAUGGGUUAUACCAGCUCAUUGGGUAUCAUUUAGAAGCCAAUCAACCCAAAUUAUCUUCAGUGCUAUGUAACGAAACUAAGUUCAAGCACUUCUCUCAAAGUGUUUUCCUGAGGCGCUUCUGUGAGCUCAAGCUGUGUUGCAUUUACAGGACAAUUUAGGUCUGAGGAUCACUUGAGACUUCAUCAGCAAGGUUCUGUGCUGCCCAGGGUGCAGCUCUGAGCUCACACUCAGGGUCACUCAGCUCCCUGCACACAGCAGCGACACAAAACAAAUCCUUUUCCUGCUGCACACCAAGGACAACUGGGACAAGUUUUCAGCCCCAAAAGCACAAACAGCAGUGGCUGGAGGGAGGAACAAGAAGGAUGGGACUUCACAACCUGAAGCUGGAAUGGGAUAAUUCAACCAAAUGUGCAAAUGGACCAAAACAGAUCCAAGUGUGAGACCUCGUGACCCUUUGUCCAUUUUGUGCCCAUUUUGGGUCCACCUUGGGUGCAGCCCUGGCCAGGCUCUGUCCUGCCCAAGGUGUACCCUAAAGGACAUUCAAUGAAUAUCUCCUUUAUUCUCCAGCUCUGUGCAGUCUCUGUCCCAGCUCAGCCUUCCCAAGGUGUCAGGUGGAGCCGUGGAGUUGGGUGAUGGAUGGGCCAGGAACAAGGCUGGGACUGCUCUGGGGUCGGAGGCUUUUUCUGGAGCAGGGAGGAAGGGUUUGCCCAGAAUAAAUUCGACGCAGUGGAACAAAGUGUUCCCCAGAAAUGCGUUCUACAGCCAGGAUAGCAGCAGCCUCACUGCCAAUGAGGGGCCUGCUGCAGGAACACUUUGGCAAGGGGAUAAAAUAAUGGCCAAAUUUGUGCUGAGCAGCCUGAGGGUGGGUGGCUGGAUUAUGCAAUGUUACUGGUACUCAAAAUCCAUUAUCUACUGCAAAGAAUCUCUGAAUGAAAUGAAUUGGUAGAUAGAGCAGAUAGCUCUUAAUUUUGUUUUCUUUUCUUCCCUUCCACUCCCUUCCAAAAACUGUGCAUUCAAACACCUCUACUCAAAUCUUUGGAGCUGAGAAGACCAGGAGGACAGAGCCUGUAAUGAAACCUUCAUCAAGAACCUGAGAUCAAGGACCCAUCCUCCCUGCAGGGGAUAUCUGCUGUUCAUGGGCCAUCCAGGCUCACUGCAUGGCUGAGACAAUUCCAGCAUCCAUUGGGAGAUGCUCCACCCAGGGGAGGAGCCCGGCAUUCCCAGCUGGAUAAAACCUGGCAUUGGGAACAGCAGCACAGAGGAACACCAGACCCAUCUCAGCACCACUGGAGCCUUCUACAGGAUCAUCUCUGCUCCAACAGAACCACAUCUGUCACUGCAGGAGGACUGGAUUGGGCUGCUCCCAACACCCUGACCAACAGGGGUCAGGUCGUGUUCUGACUCUGUCAGCGUUUUAUUUCUUUUUGUUUUUUGCUUGUUUGUAAUACUGCAUUUUUAUUUUAAUUUUAUUUUAA
This is a long non-coding RNA of Hirundo rustica (Barn swallow), 1518 nucleotides long. RefSeq lists it as uncharacterized. The transcript is spliced from 3 exons. The record is from RefSeq and is a predicted model, not a curated record. NCBI's taxonomy places the organism in Eukaryota, Metazoa, Chordata, Aves, Passeriformes, Hirundinidae.